This 1204-nucleotide long non-coding RNA is filed under the name Gadus morhua (Atlantic cod). Its description in RNAcentral is "lncRNA (ENSGMOG00000022299.1)". Lineage: Eukaryota; Metazoa; Chordata; Actinopteri; Gadiformes; Gadidae. The record is from RNAcentral.
GACACCAAACUGGAGCAAACCGAAGGAUGUGCUGUGUGCUUUCUGUUCCAUAUCUCACUGUCUGUCCCCGAUGAUGAUUGUUUACAGUCCCCUUAAGGAAACCAGCGCACACCUUGGCAGCACAAUGCCAUGCACUGACCAAGAGAGAAUCCAUUACAAUACAGCUGUGCAUUCACGUUGGAUGAGCUGAGUGAGUGUGGGAAGCUGUGGUGUCCGACUCAGGAACGCCACAUCCAGUGUAACUACAGCUGUAAACAAAGCCAUCUCUUCUCUCUGCGUAUCGUUAGGGUUAAGGUUGGGGUUAGCCUAACCCUAACCCUGACCCUAACCCUAGGGCCUAAGCCAUCUCUUCUCUCUACGUAUAGUUCCCGCCCAGGCAGCCAAGCCCAGUGGCAUGUCGAGAAACUUCCUGCCAUCCGAUUCCCAUCUUUCUACCUGGGGACUAAAGUACCUGCCUGAACUGUUAGCCGUCAUCCCCUUCAGAGGUCAGCGCAGACUCAAGGUGCUCCUGACCAGCAACCACAGGGAGGAGGGGAGUUACACAGGGGAGAAGUUAAUGAGUGGUUAAACACACACACACGGGCACACACACACACACACACACACACUGUGGCAUCCCGCCACGUAAACCUCGGCCUGGACAGGCCCGAGGGACCGUGAAGGACGGGGUAUACCACCCCCACCCACCAGCCGGCGACGGAGAGCAUCCCUUUCGCCUCCCCAAUCAGGGUGAUUGGUGGACACCUGGCCGGUGGCAGAGGAGCCAUCUUAAAGGAGGUCGAGGACAGACAGCAGCACGGCACGGGAGGAAGAAGGAAGUGCUCGUGGCAGCAAGAGAGCCAGAGAGCCUAGAGGCCCACGGAGGACCUAGAGACCGCGUUUCCUUCAUGGUUUGAUUGUUUAAGAUGAUUGUUAAAUAAAUGCCUGCAAUGGCUAAAACCCCAAUGGUAAGCGUGGUUUGUCCGUGGAACCUGGCCCAACCGAGCACCGGGUUACCACAACACACACACACACACACACACACACACACAACCCUACACACAACCCUACACAGACAUACAUGCACGUAGGAAUGCAAGCAUGCACAAGCUCACACACACACACACACACAUACACACUUAUGGUAUGCACGCAUGCAUAUUCACAUACACACACAAACACACACACACACAUACAUGCAUAUGCACUCAUACAUGCCUCCAUA